UUCCAGACUCCUACGGGAGGCAGCAGUGGGGAAUAUUGCGCAAUGGGCGAAAGCCUGACGCAGCGACGCCGCGUGAGGGAUGGAGGUCUUCGGAUCGUAAACCUCUGUCAGCGGGGAAGAACGGUCACUGUGCUAAUCAGCAGUGAAUUGACGGUACCUGCAAAGGAAGCACCGGCUAACUCCGUGCCAGCAGCCGCGGUAAUACGUAGGUGGCAAGCGUUGUCCGGAUUUACUGGGUGUAAAGGGCGUGUAGCCGGGCUUACAAGUCAGAUGUGAAAUCCGGGGGCUCAACCCCCGAACUGCAUUUGAAACUGUAGGUCUCGAGUAUCGGAGAGGCAGGCGGAAUUCCUAGUGUAGCGGUGAAAUGCGUAGAUAUUAGGAGGAACACCAGUGGCGAAGGCGGCCUGCUGGACGACAACUGACGGUGAGGCGCGAAAGCGUGGGGAGCAAACAGGAUUAGAUACCCCAGUAAC
This 473-nucleotide ribosomal RNA is filed under the name uncultured bacterium. Its description in RNAcentral is "bacterial SSU rRNA". It matches the Rfam family "Bacterial small subunit ribosomal RNA", at positions 329 to 794 of the family's 1533-position model. The record is from RNAcentral.